AGAGUUUGAUCAUGGCUCAGGAUGAACGCUGGCGGCGUGCCUAAUACAUGCAAGUCGAGCGAAUCUAAGGGAGCUUGCUCCCAAAGAUUAGCGGCGGACGGGUGAGUAACACGUGGGCAACCUACCUGUAAGACUGGGAUAACUUCGGGAAACCGGAGCUAAUACCGGAUAACAUAUGAGACCACAUGGUCUUAUAUUAAAAGAUGGCUUCUUGCUAUCACUUACGGAUGGGCUCGCGGCGCAUUAGCUAGUUGGUGAGGUAACGGCUCACCAAGGCAACGAUGCGUAGCCGACCUGAGAGGGUGAUCGGCCACACUGGGACUGAGACAUGGCCCAGACUCCUACGGGAGGCAGCAGUAGGGAAUCUUCCGCAAUGGACGAAAGUCUGACGGAGCAACGCCGCGUGAGCGAAGAAGGUCUUCGGAUCGUAAAGCUCUGUUGUUAGGGAAGAACAAGUAUCGUUCGAAUAGGGCGGUACCUUGACGGUACCUAACCAGAAAGCCACGGCUAACUACGUGUCAGCAGCCGCGGUAAUACGUAGGUGGCAAGCGUUAUCCGGAAUUAUUGGGCGUAAAGCGCGCGCAGGCGGUCCUUUAAGUCUGAUGUGAAAGCCCACGGCUCAACCGUGGAGGGUCAUUGGAAACUGGGGGGACUUGAGUGCAGAAGAGGAGAGCGGAAUUCCACGUGUAGCGGUGAAAUGCGUAGAGAUGUGGAGGAACACCAGUGGCGAACGCGGCUCUCUGGUCUGUAACUGACGCUGAGGCGCGAAAGCGUGGGGAGCGAGCAUGAUUAGAUACCCUGGUAGUCCAC
Molecule: ribosomal RNA, 810 nt
Filed under: uncultured bacterium
Lineage: Bacteria
Description: bacterial SSU rRNA
Rfam family: Bacterial small subunit ribosomal RNA
Source: RNAcentral